RNAcentral lists this ribosomal RNA (484 nucleotides) under uncultured bacterium. RNAcentral describes it as "partial 16S ribosomal RNA". It matches the Rfam family "Bacterial small subunit ribosomal RNA", at positions 30 to 507 of the family's 1533-position model. The record is from RNAcentral.
AUUGAACGCUGGCGGCAGGCCUAACACAUGCAAGUCGAGCGGAUGCAGGGAGCUUGCUCCUGGAUUCAGCGGCGGACGGGUGUGUAAUGCCUAGGAAUCUGCCUGGUAGUGGGGGAUAACGUCCGGAAACGGGCGCUAAUACCGCAUACGUCCUGAGGGAGAAAGUGGGGGAUCUUCGGACCGCACGCUAUCAGAUGAGCCUAGGUCGGAUUAGCUAGUUGGUGGGGUAAAGGCCUACCAAGGCAACGAUCCGUAACUGGUCUGAGAGGAUGAUCAGUCACACUGGAACUGAGACACGGUCCAGACUCCUACGGGAGGCAGCAGUGGGGAAUAUUGGACAAUGGGCGAAAGCCUGAUCCAGCCAUGCCGCGUGUGUGAAGAAGGUCUUCGGAUUGUAAAGCACUUUAAGUUGGGAGGAAGGGCAGUAAGUUAAUACCUUGCUGUUUUGACGUUACCAAAAGAAUAAGCACCGGCUAACUUCGUG